AGCGUCUAGAAUGGGAAUAGAGGUGUUAUCUGCCCGGUGGAAACCCUAAACGGCGGCCUUAGCGUGAUGGUCUUAAGGUAGCAUAUAAGAUCCUGAAUAAUUAUCUGGUGGUAUGAAUGGGAGCACGAGGGGAAGACUGUCUCGGUUUAAUUACAGUAAACUUACCUUGGAGGUGAAAAGGCCUUCAUGUAGUAAAUAGACGAUAAGACCCCAUGAAAUUUUAAUCCUUGUUUUAAGUUGGGUUGGUAUUAUUGGCGAAUUUGUUUGGGUUUUAGUUGGGGCAACUCGGGAGUAUUACAAGCCUCCCGGAAUAUCUUUUAAACUUACAGGUGUUGAACCUCCUUCAUGCGUGGUUAUCGGAAAAAAUUACUCUGGGGAUAACAGCGUCAUCUUCCCGGAGAGGACAUAUCGGUGGGAAGGUUUACGACCUCGAUGUUGAAUGUGGCUACCCUUAUUGCUUGCAAUAGGCAUAAAAGGUUCGGACUGUUCGUCCAUUAAAAGCCAACC
This 507-nucleotide ribosomal RNA is filed under the name Anadara trapezia (ark clam). RNAcentral's name for it is "partial 16S ribosomal RNA". It matches the Rfam family "Bacterial large subunit ribosomal RNA", at positions 1828 to 2600 of the family's 2925-position model. Lineage: Eukaryota; Metazoa; Mollusca; Bivalvia; Arcoida; Arcidae. The record is from RNAcentral.